GACGAACGCUGGCGGCGUGCUUAACAAAGGCAGGUGGACGGGAAAGGCCCUGCUUUUGGGGGUUGCCGGGGUGGCGAACGGUUGGGAAACACGUGGUUAACUUGCCUUGGACUUUGGGUUAAUUUCGGGAAAUUGGGGUUAAUACCGGAUAGGGGCUCCUGUUGAAUGGUGGGGGUUGGAAAGUUUCGGCGGUUGGGGAUGGACUCGCGGCUUAUCAGCUUGUUGGUGGGGUAGUGGCUUACCAAGGCUUUGACGGGUAGCCGGCCUGAGAGGGUGACCGGCCACAUUGGGACUGAGAUACGGCCCAGACUCCUACGGGAGGCAGCAGUGGGGAAUAUUGCACAAUGGGCGGAAGCCUGAUGCAGCAACGCCGCGUGCGGGAUGACGGCCUUCGGGUUGUAAACCGCUUUCGCCUGUGACGAAGCGUGAGUGACGGUAAUGGGUAAAGAAGCACCGGCUAACUACGUG
This 468-nucleotide ribosomal RNA is filed under the name uncultured bacterium. Its description in RNAcentral is "partial 16S ribosomal RNA". It matches the Rfam family "Bacterial small subunit ribosomal RNA", at positions 28 to 507 of the family's 1533-position model. The record is from RNAcentral.